UCCGGUUUGUCACCGGCAGUCUCCCUAGAGUGCCCUUGCGUAGCAACUAGGGACAAGGGUUGCGCUCGUUGCGGGACUUAACCCAACAUCUCACGACACGAGCUGACGACAGCCAUGCAGCACCUGUGUUCCGGUUCCCUUUCAGGCACACCCGCCUUUCAGCAGGCUUCCAGACAUGUCAAGGGUAGGUAAGGUUGUUCGCGUUGCAUCGAAUUAAUCCACAUCAUCCACCGCUUGUGCGGGUCCCCGUCAAUUCCUUUGAGUUUUAACCUUGCGGCCGUACCAAGGUUGGUU
This 294-nucleotide unclassified non-coding RNA is filed under the name uncultured Gammaproteobacteria bacterium. Its description in RNAcentral is "contains 16S-23S intergenic spacer region". Lineage: Bacteria; Pseudomonadati; Pseudomonadota; Gammaproteobacteria. The record is from RNAcentral.